This 428-nucleotide ribosomal RNA is filed under the name uncultured bacterium. RNAcentral's name for it is "bacterial SSU rRNA". It matches the Rfam family "Bacterial small subunit ribosomal RNA", at positions 354 to 796 of the family's 1533-position model. The record is from RNAcentral.
GUGAGGAAUCUUCCGCAAUGGGCGAAAGCCUGACGGAGCGACACCGCGUGAAGGAUGAAACCCUUUUGGGCGUAAACUUCUGUUCUGAGGGACGAAAUUUUUGACGGUACCUCAGGAGAAAGCACCGGCUAAUUCUGUGCCAGCAGCCGCGGUAAGACAGAAGGUGCAAGCGUUACUCGGAAUUACUGGGCGUAAAGCGUCCGCAGGUGACCCUGCCAGUCUGGUGUCAAAUGGCGAAGCUUAACUUCGUCAACGUGCCGGAAACUACAGGGAUUGAGCCAUUCAGAGGCAUCUGGAAUGCCGUGCGUAGGGGUAAAAUCCGUUGAUCCACGGUAGAACGCCAAAAGCGAAGGCAGGAUGCUAGGAAUGUGCUGACACUCAGGGACGAAAGCGUGGGGAGCAAACCGGAUUAGAUACCCCGGUAGUCC